Molecule: ribosomal RNA, 304 nt
Filed under: uncultured bacterium
Lineage: Bacteria
Description: partial 16S ribosomal RNA
Rfam family: Bacterial small subunit ribosomal RNA
Source: RNAcentral
CAGCAGCAGCCACGGUAAUACGAAGGGUGCAAGCGUUAAUCGGAAUUACUGGGCGUAAAGCGUGCGUAGGCGGUUUGUUAAGUCUGUUGUGAAAUCCCCGGGCUCAACCUGGGAAUGGCAAUGGAUACUGGCAAGCUAGAGUGUGUCAGAGGAUGGUGGAAUUCCCGGUGUAGCGGUGAAAUGCGUAGAGAUCGGGAGGAACAUCAGUGGCGAAGGCGGCCAUCUGGGACAACACUGACGCUGAGGCACGAAAGCGUGGGGAGCAAACAGGAUUAGAUACCCGCGUAGUCCCUGUCUCUUAUAC